Molecule: long non-coding RNA, 11799 nt
Organism: Columba livia (rock pigeon)
Lineage: Eukaryota; Metazoa; Chordata; Aves; Columbiformes; Columbidae
Exons: 6
Source: RefSeq, a predicted model, not a curated record
UUGAUUUCUCAGUAGUAGUUCCCUACCUGCCUUUUUAAGGAAGAAAAAUUACAGAGGAGAGAUUCUUCUGGGAAAAAAAUAAUGUCUUCAAGGCUGAAUGGCAUUAUUAACUGUGAGAUGGCUUCUCUGAAACUGUGCCACAAUGUCUCACCCAAAUUGGAGAGUAAUUUGCCUCCACAUUUGAAGUUUACUGAAAGGUUUAUGUGAGGGUGUGUGCUGUGAUUUCUGUCAAGUUUAAUGUUGUUUAAAAUAUAACUGUUCAAAUAGCAAGAUGCUGCUCAGUGAAUUUAUGCUGAGGGUUUCUAUUAAAUCCCUAUAAACAGAAGUAUCUGCAAUCAUUAUAGCUGUCUUUUCUGUCAUCUGCUAAAAUACCAGCAUGAUUAAAAGUGCUGUAGAAUGGAGGAACUUAGAAAAUCUGUGUGGGCUCAUUUAGUUGUCUGGGCAGAAAACUGGUCCAAACUCCAUGAUAGCACUUGGAAAAUUCAGCUCAAGCCUCUCCCAAUGAAAGUUGGACAAGGUCGUGCAUGCUAGUUGCACAGAAUACUUUUGACAUUGGGCUGUGUUGAACAGCAGACACUUAAAUUUGGAGAAGCCUCAUCUCCAUAGGAACUAAGUAUUUCCAGUUCUCCAGUACCUGAAGUUUACCUUCUGACCCUGUUCAGGAGCGAAUGGUGUGGUGUCUGAGCUGUGUUGAGAGUUACCAGAGGUGUUCCUCCACCAGCACAGCCUGCAAUGGUGGUUGUUUGCUUCCUUUCUAUAUAUCUUUCUAUAUAUCUCAGGAUACAAGAUAGCAUUUGGAAAAUGAACUCAUUGAUGUGACCUAACCUGACCAUGACCAUAACGAUACACCAGAAAAACUGGAUUUUCAAAAUGAGUAUUUCAGGAUUUGGAUGAAAUGUUUCCAUGAUGGCUUUUCUUUUUCCCAAAAUUCAGGAGUGUCUAUGGGACUUCUAGAUGAUUUUUUGUUUGUUCUUGUUUUGUUUGUUUGUUUGUUUUAAUAUUCCUAAGAAAAGUAACUCAUAAUUCUCUAGCAAGGGUGCAUGUUUACAAAUACACUAUUCAUAGUCUGUUUUGGCACUCUUUAGGAAUUUAACUAUUUCAGAGGCUUAUGAUCUCUGUGACUGAAGGGAACUAGACACAAAGCCAGCUCUACCCAAAAAAAGCAGUUUCAAUGUUUUUGAGAUUCCGAUUACAUGCUUAGAUUUCUUUGGAACAAGCUGCCUGAAGUCGACAUCUAGGUACUGAUUGAUAGAUGCGCAGCUAUGAUUAAUUUCAAGAACCUAAGUCAUGAUUUUGAUGUCUCCAUUUAGACACACCACCAAACAUUUAAACAAUGUUGAACACAAAAAAAACUCAUGUAAAAAUCAACAAUUAGUAGCUCUGAAAAGGCACCACUUUGCUCUCUAUGCUGCCACACCAUUCUUUCCUCUCCUCUGUUUGGUUUUCAGACACUUAUUAGGACACCAUCACAUAGAUAGCUCAGGAAAGACUACAGAUAUAGACUAUAGGAGCAGACAAAGCAAAUGGGAAAUUUCAGACUGUCGUGCAGUAGGAUAGUGUGGAGUAACUGACUGACCACCUUCCCUCACGUAGCUCACUCAAAGCCAGCAUGUUCCGGCACAGCUAGGACUUACAAUAAAAUGUCAGAAAACUUCCAGAUAUUAGUUAAGAUGGCAGGAGAGGUGGUUAUCUCAGGACUGUAACACUAUGGAGUUUGCAAGUCUAAAUUCUGAUCUGGCGAUAGAGUGGUUCAUGACCAAGGAAGGAAGGAAGGAAAAAGGGAAUGAUGGAAGGAAGGAGUUUCUUCUGGUUUCAUCACAGGAAGGUUUUCUGCUGUAAAUCUGAUGCCUGAUUCAGCUCUGAGAGCAUGAAGAAGAUACACUAAUGAGUCAGCAGAGACAUCUGAACAUCACGAGUGCCCAUAACCCUUCAGUCCUGUGACACAGCACUGCCAUUGCUGGGGACAGGCCAUGGGCUGAGCUUUCAUGACACCAGGAUGGAGAUUUAUCCAGCCUGUCCUUUCUGAGGUUUCUUGACCAGUCUGCAGCUUCGUUUUGCUUUUUCUAGCUGUAACUGCAAUUGUUCUAAGUGCUAUUUAUGGCUGAUACAUUUUACUUUUGUAUAUCUUUGUGUGGUGCCAGCAUGGUGUUAUGAUUCUGACGUGUUAGGAAAUAGAGGUGGGGAUGCUGGCUGUGGCACUGGGUGUGUCACUGGAGUCCCGGAGUCUAUAAACUCCAGUGGUUUAACCAGUGGUUAAAGAAAUGCAGAACUGCAGAUAGAUGGAGAUGGUUUUAGGGGUAACAAAGAGAACAAUCUCAUUUAACAUAUGAAAAAAACAGCAUCUAUAGUAAAUUCAGAUGUAAUGUGAGGUGCAAAUCAAUGAAGAAGAAGUUGUAAAAGUGUGCUAGGAAAAAUAAAAUUACCCCAAAUGGAGCCUAGAGUAAGAAGGAAGAAAGCAUCCUACAUGAACACUAUAUUUCUCCCAGCAAAGGACUCCAGAAGGUCAUGACUUACUGUAACCGUUCCCCCUACCCCCCCACCACAAGAGAAACCACCAAGCCUGGGACCCAAAGCAGCAAGAGAAACUUGAGUGUAACAGGAGGAAAAAGGGUGAAAAACAAAGAAGCGUAUGUAUAACAUUUUUAAUUUUAUUAGUAGCAUUUAUUAUUGUUAGCAUUAUUAUUAUUUUUAAAAAACUUUUUCUUAAGAUUAUAUCAUUGCUCUUUCUCUAAUACUUAGGUCUGGACUAGUAAUGAUACUAAGGUUAGAUCUUUAAGAUUUCAGUUAUGCUAACAAUCAAGUCUUGGCUUUAUGUAUCAGGUAUGUUUUUUGUUUGCAUGUAAGCAACAUUUUGACCUAUCACACACCUGUCAGCCCCUCCUGCUCCUGCCUACACCCACCAAAUUUCUGAUGUCACAGGGAAUGUAGAAAAAAAGAAGAAAGGUAUUUAGCAUUUUGGGGUGAUUGAUGAAGUACGGAGAUGCACCUGUAUGCCUAUAUCCUGCUGAGAAAAAUGUAAGCAUCAUUUUCAUGUUACUAUUGCAUACAUUGCUGGUUUAGUUUGUCUCUUAUGUCUUUUCUUCUAGCUUUUCUUUUUCUUGCACUUUGUUUUGCCAUCUUCAGCUCUUCUCUUUACAAAUUUUUCCAGCUGACAAUUAAAUGACAGGUAUUGAGGAUCAUUAGACCCAGACAUGCAUCAUCUGUUUUCAGCUAAACAGCAGACAGAAAACUUAAAGCUUAGAAUUCAGGACUUCUCAGUUCUCAAAAUGCAGUCUUUUGUUCCUUGAUUGCAUUACAAGUCUUCACAGCUAUGUAUCUCCUUUAUUUCCCUUUAAGUACACUCAGAGCAGAUAAAAUGGAAAGUCAUUUGUAGCCACAUUGUUUGCCUCUUCAAUCAAGACAGAAGUUUCCUCCACCCCUGGUAUCUAAGUUGUGGUGUGCAGACAAAAAAUGACCUGAGAGAUCCUGCCUAAUUGAUCUUCAAAAUCAUAAUAGCCAAUACUAUUCCUUGUAUAUGUUUUCCAGAUAAAAGUUAUGAUACUAAGGAAUUGUGACACUGCAGGAAAAAUCUUGAACCUUAGCAAUAAGCCAUGGAUUUGGAAGCUUGGGUAAAGCUGACAGUGCCUUGUUGCACCUCAUGUGCUCUUACACAAUCCCUUCUCUGUUGUAUACUUCAGAAAAUAUUUAAUAUGUGUGAUCUUAUUUGAAAUUAUUUCUAAAAGCUGUUUUGAUGGGAAAAUGAUGUAUUUAAUAAUUUUCCACAAGAAGCCCUAGUUGUUUCAAAGCUGUCAUUUUUUUUCUUUGCAGAUAUUUAGACUGUUUGUAUAUGUUUAUGUGUGUGGGCAUUCUUUUUUCCUUCAUUAUGUAAAUUUUUGGGAGAGAAGAGAAAUUAUCCUACCAUAAUAAUCAAUUUGAGAGGUGUAAAAUUAAAAAAAAAAAACAAAACCUAUAAUCUUUCAAAAAUGACUGAAGUAUUUUGUAAAAUUGUUUAUUUUCCCUUUCGUUACCUUUAGUUAAAGAUAAUUUGUGAUUAAGUUUGUUCUUUUUAUCGCAAAUGGUAAACAUAGGGUGAUACCUGUUGCAAAAAAACACAGUCCCCAGGGAUCUAAUCUGAUGAUCCGAUUAGUUUAGCCAAGCUUUAUAUAAAAUCUCUGUGCCUUCAGAACAUGCAGUGAUUUCACCGUUACUCAGAGUCUGGAUUAAUUUCAUCCAUUUCUGUUUCUUCUGGGAAUUUAGCAAUGCUCUUUGUAUCAAGGCUGUUUUCAUCUCAGUGGUGUUGCUAUAUGCAUAUUGUCCUUUGGUAAUGCAAUCUUGUUUCCUGCAUGGUUUGUAUCCAUUUGAAAGGGACGUUCUGAUUUAAUUACAGACUGUGACUGUAUAUACUUUCGAUACUAUCCAAAACCACAGAGCUCUGAGCUUUCCUAACAUCUCCCAGACUGAAACAGAUUGUUUCUCAAGUUUACAGGUUGAGGUGGAGUUCCCAGUUGUACAGCCUAAUUUGCAGGUAUCUUUUUGUCAGUAACUAGCUGGUGCCUUGCUCUGAGCAGGGGUAAAGAGAGAAAACACCUCUGCAGUACUCACCCUGAAGGUACACAAGACAUCUGCUGGUGUCUGGAAGACAUGCAAAAUGUGACAAUUCCCUCUUGGGGGGGGAAAGAAAAGGAAAAAAAAAAAAGAAAAAUAAGGAAAAAUCAGUAUGUAGAAAUUAAUGUGCCUUUGUGAAGAUUCAAAACAGAUGGGGAAAAGGUCAGGGAUUCUUUGUUGCUAAGUGCGUUUCUAUGACAACUGCAAUGUGUAUGUUAUGAGUGAGCGAUCAUUUGUUCCAGCUGCUGGAUCAUUAAAGGGGCAGCAUUUCCCUCAGCACUGGGAGUGUUAUUCAUGGCUUAUUUACUUUUUCUUUACCCCUCUUUAAACCAAAGUUCAACAGGUAAGACACAGUGAGUGCCUGAAAGCUUCAGUCAAUCACAGCGUGCUACACAUCACAGGUCUGGAUGAGUCUGGAGUACACAGUGUGUGCCUUGGAGGAUGCUGGGGGAGCUCAGUAAGGAGAUUAGGGAGAUUAAUUUAGAUCCAAUCAUGCAAUUAAAUCUCUGUACUCAUGGUGAGAUAUUCUAUGAUGCCAUGAUUCUGUGAUGCUGGGCUGUUUUGCAAGAGUUUCUGUAGAAUUUAUGGCAUGACUUGGGAGACACAAGUGACUUGUCUCUCCAUGCAUCUUUGGCAUGGGAAUACUAGUACACACAGAGACUCAUAAAAUGUUUGGAUAUUGUCUUAGAAAAAGUUAAUUAACUAGAAUGAUAGUAGGAAACUACUCCUUUACACAGUGAAAUAAGAGGACGAAGCUUCAACUGCUUGGCAAUAUGGUCCAAGAAACACAGAUUUCAUUGUUCAUAGGAGUCGAUUUUGUCAAAUCUUUCCACUCAUAUAAUUUUACUUGUUUUUUAAGAUUAAAAACAAAAAAAAAGAACAACAAAACAACACUUGAAGGUUGUUGAUACAGGGUCAAUAUCCAUUUCCAGUGACACUGAAGAAUAAAUUGGGUAGUAUUUCUCUUCUGUGAAUUGUGCAUCUGGAAAAAGUGACUGUUUCAGCAUGUCUGAGCCUAUCAGUCACUUCUGGUGGCACGUACAGCUCUCUGUCUUCCCUACAUUGGAGUGUGGUACUCCAGCUGACAGCCAGAAAAUAUCUCCCUAACUUUCAAUGUGACAUCUUGUUGGCUUCUGGCUGCUUGUGCCUUUUGCUAUUCUUGAAGAAGGAUUUUUUUUUCUUUUUUUUUUUUUUUUUUUUUUUGGCAUAUAUCAGUGCAAUAGAAAACAUGAACUUCUACUUAGUAACAGAAAAGAGAAAAUCAAAGCAGUUUCAACUUAUUUGUCCACUGGGACUGCUUGCUUUUCUAGACUGAUACCUUCUUUUUGAUCUUGUCUAGGAAUUAAAGUGUUUUCACUGUUUAUUUCUUUGUAAGAUUUUCUUUAGAAAACCCGCUAUGCAAACCCAUUGCUACUAAGAAAUGAAAAUUCAGGGCAAUGAAUGCGGGGAAAAAGCUUGAUGCAAGAAGCAUUAGGAAAUUCUGAACUUGCAUAUUGGUAGACAUGACAGUCCAGCUGCCAUCAGAUGACUCUUAUCGCAUGCGAGAGAUGAAUUGUUCUAUUGCCAUGAGCUGCUUUGGCCAAACAGAAGAAUUAGAGUAAUUCAGGUGGGAAGUGGAAGCUGCAAUAAAACCAGGCCUUCAGUAUCAAAAAGACAGGUUAUAAUAUAGACUUGGCUGACAGCUUCUUUGUCUGUUUUAUACAAAUACUCUUUCUCUUCUGCACAGAUGUUUUUUCCCCACACUUUCUUGGCUUCAGCUGGUGGAAGAAGAACAAAGCAAAGCAGCUGCCCUGUGCUUUGAAUCCCGUCCAUCUCGCCUCAUUUCAACAUAUGGAGUGAUGAUGCACAUCACUGUUCAGAUCUCAUUUUGUUCUUUGAGAAAUAUGGAGAGGGAGGUAUUUACUAAAUUCGGUUGAGUGGCAGAAACAAGGCUAAACAUCCUGGAAGCUAAGCAUCCCUCAGAGAUUUAGCAUUUGUGUGGUUGACUGUCUUUCUGGAAGACUGAGCUCAGCUGCCCUCUGCAUCACAGCUCUUUAUCCCUCAGUUUAGGUCUUUCACGGACAUCCAUAAUGCAAAUUUCUCCAUGCCACUUCAUGUAAUUCUUGUUGAAAUAAAAGUUUAUUCCCCAUUUUGCAGCCACAACCUGGUGAAAAAAACAGUUAUGUCAGUGGUUUCAGCUUAGUGUCUGUGCUUGUAGAGAGAAAGAUCUGGAUUCACAUCUGCUCCAUGCUGAUUACAGACAAGGCAGCUGACAAGCACAAUGUUGGACUGAAGUAUCUCAAGGGUUGUUCCUAUACUGGGUCACUUGCAUUUGGAGAAUGUUAAUGGGGCAAAGCUGGAAAAUAAAUUUGAUGGGGGACAUGUCUGCUGAGAGUCCAGCUGAGGGGCAACUAGAGCACAUCAUUCAAAUGUACAGAGUUGGGGUGAAAACUGAUGUACUGCUAUCUUGUUUCAUUUCAGAUUAGCUAUCUCAGAUUAACUACCUAAGAGGAAUGGCAGGGAAAAGACAGCUGGAGGAAAUGAAACUAAAACAUCAGCUUUGGAAAAAGAAAGCAAGAUCAGAUUGUGUCCUCCAGACGAUGCUGAUUUCCAGAGCUUUCAUUUCAGAAGCCUCCAGAACAACUUGCCUAAGGAUUGCACCAGCAGGUUAGGAAAUGGCAAGCUGCCAGCUCAACCGGAAGGUUACCUAAGAUAAUAACAUUGCUGUGAGAAGCCCAUGUAAAGUUUCUUUGUUUUAAGACUUCUAGCAGGGAAUACAAGUAGGCAUAAGCUCAAAACAGCAGAAGUUCUGCAAAUAGCAUCUUUGGAUGUAAGACAGGAUAUUAAAAAAUUGCACAACUCCAAUGUCAAACAGGACAUUUGGUCUUGCCUUUGGAUGACUGUGAUAGCUGAAUUCCACAAAAAGUUAACUCUGGCUUCCCCUUCCUUUUUGAGUAUGUUACAGACAAAUAUAUUUUUUCUGUGUGAGUUCUGAAUGAAUACCAGCACAACAGUGGUACCCAGUAUGAGAAAUGAGGACAGUGCCAAAGCUGAAACUUGGUCAUACAGCACUAACACGGGGCUUGAAUGGUAAGUCCUUAACCACUGUUUUUGAUUUCCUUUCUGACCCAAUUUUAAGCUCUAUCUAAAAGCAGACUAAUUUAUUUUCACUAAAAGGAACUAAUGCUCCCAGUAGCAGAGAAUAUAUGUGCUACAGUAAUCCAUUUGGUGUUAUAUAUUUACUUCUUCGUCUCUACUUCAAAUAGAGAAGCUAAAAGGCUCUUCCAGAGGCAGUUUGAAAAAAUACUAGUCCUGAUCACAUCUGAGCUAGCUAAAAGUUGUAGAAGGUUCCCUCUGGGCUUACAUGGUUGACAUUGGAGAGGUAAUACAUGCAAAGAAUUUAGAGUAAUGAGCUGAGAUGUAAAAAAGCACAAGCAAGAAAGUGAGCAAAACAGUUUCUGUUCUCUGUAGGACAUUUAAACAUAAAAUUCUCGAAUUACUAAUUCCUUAAUUCCUUCCUUCCUCAAACACAAACAGCUUUUUUUUGCUUCUUUUUUUUUUUUUUUUUUUUUUUUAACAAUCUUCACUUUACAGAAAUCAACAAAAUAUUGAAAUGGGAAAGUCAGAUUUUUAUGAAGGGAAACUCACUGAAUCAAAGUGGGAAAAAAAGAAUCACAUUUUGCAGAUCACUUUGGAAAACUGUAUUACUGCUGGUUCUAGUUCUCUGUCUUAAAAGACCUGGGGCUUUAAUGAAUGAAAACAAACUGAGGCUCUACUAUUUCAGAGGAGCACAAGGCUAGUCAGUGUUCUGUAGGACUUUGAACGUCUCAGGUUAUGUAUGAUUUGUACUUCACUAAAAAUAAUUAUUUUAUUCCGUUUCACAUCCUACCCUGGACUGUACAAUCAUUUCAAUGACUGUUAAAUUUGGUUGUGUUUCCAUGACAAAAACUUAUUAUCUAUUGGCGUUUGUAUUUUGCUAGUGUCUGACCAGUGGUGACCAGCUGCCUACCAGGAUAAAACCAAAACAAUGAGGAUUGAAGUAUUCCAAAAUCAACUGAACCUGUCUAGUGCCCUUACGGAGCUCUUGAUGAGGUUCAAGACUAUUUGUACUAAUAGCGUACAAGAAGCAAUAGUUUAGUUGCUGUAAGCUCAUAGGAGCUUAUAGACCAGGUUGCAGCACUGAGGAAACCGGAGUUCAAUAAAAGGGCAGAAGUGGCCCAGAGAGAGCAAAGAGCAUUGAUAGAACAGUUACAAGGUAAACAUGUAUUCAGGUUGGUGUUUCUAGUCAACUGGAAUGAAGUGUGUAAGUUUAUACAGAGUAUCAGUGAGCCAGGAACAAAAUAGGAGCUCCCCUGCUUAAAGGAUAAGGGCUCAUGCCUGGACUUUUUCCUUCACAAAUCCCUGCAGAAGCAAAUAGAGCUCUUUAUGGCUGACUCUUAGCCAUAGCACCAUCCAGGGAAGUUCCUUUUGUCCUAAACUCAGAUAGAGUUUUAGGUUUAGAAUUUUUUUUUUCUUUUUAAAUUUUAUUUUGCUUGUUGUUAUUCUUCACAGUACUUCAGUACUUAAACACAGAAAGGCUAGGGCACAGGAAAACAGAAGUCUGAGGGGAAGGAAAACACAUAUGUAAUCUUUUCCACACACAGUCAAACGAUGAAAAAGGAAAGACAAACCUCAAGGAGACAAACAACUACAAGUAUGAGAUGAAGGAAGACAGAGCUUUCAGGAAGAAAGUCAUUCUGGCCACUGCUGUGCUGGGAAUACUUACUUGUCACAUGGUGCUUAAUCAUAAUAAAUUAAGUUUUAUUUUGCAUUUUGCAACAUGCUAACUUGGCUCAGCAGGUAAUGGGAGGAGCCCUGGGUCGCCAAAUGGUGUUUAACUGAGAAUAACAACAAUUUCCCCCCUGCAGGCUGGCAUAAAUAAUGAAUUCAAAAUAUGCCUCUUUUGAGCAGAUUAUUCCAGCUGCUUCUUGUUCUUAAAGCUCAUUGGGAGGUUUAACACCAGAAAGUUAGCCCUCCUGAAGCUGCAAUUAUCCUCAAGCAACAGUCCUGGGAGAUGGGGAGUGUAAUCAAAGCUGCUUCAUGUUACCAGAGAUGGAGAACUGCAAGAGUUCAGUGAAGGUUCAGCCAAGGUGACCCACAUCUCAUCUGAAGAUCUGCUAUGGGAUGGCCUCAGUUUGUUCAACAUGGGUCUGAAAUGUCACCAAAUCUGCACCAGCUUAAAUACCAGCAUGAGGGUGCAGAGCAUGAUACCCACUGUAAGGAUCUACUGGGCAGGUAAAACAGCAGAGAAGAUUUAGGUCAGACUGUAAGGGAGGUAAAAAUAAAAUCCAAACUUUUCUAUGGCUAAAGGUAGCUACACAUGGCAAGAGAUUGGCUCAGGAAAUGGGAAACUCCAGCACUGUAGGGCGUUAUAAGCACAGGUUAGAUGAGCAACUGUCAGGAGUGGUUUAUGAAUAGUUUGCCUGCUUUUGAGUAAAGGGAUGGACUGGUCAGUCCCUCGAGGUCUCUUGCAGCCCUGUAUUCAGUGAUUGAUGGAAAUUGUGAUAUGUUUGCAAGCAACUCAUUUCCAGGUUCAAACAGCCUGUAUGUGGUGCCUCCUUCUGUUCUCCAGAGCUAAUACCUGUUUUGCCACUGUCUGCAUUAGGAUCAGGGUCAGAUCAUUAAUUAGAUCUAUGAUUGGCUGCAAAUAUAUUUUCCUGGGACUAAAGAAGUGUCUGCCACUUGUUAGCAGCAAUAUACUUGUGGGUAUCUUUCGAUUCGAAAAAAAAGAAUGAGACCCAGUGACUGCAAAGAAUGCAGUGCUUGACCAUUAGAUAAUAGGAAUAAAUACACCUGAGCAUUCACAGUUGCCUGGGGUUUUGCCUGAUUUCUGGAGGCAGAGGAAGACUGUGGAUAUUUUUUUUUUCCCCACCCUUUUGUCCCUGUACACUGUUGCAAAUUAUACCCAGGUCCUAUCUAUCAGUCCUCUAAAUCUAACCUUAAGAGAACAGACCACUGGAACAAAUAUUUCAAUCCCCUUUUUUUUCAGUAGAGUGACAGACUGUCAGUGUUAACACAGCCUCAUGCUUAUGCCAUAGAGCUGAGAUUACAAACCGUCAGUGUUAACACAGCCUCAUGGUUAUGCCAUAGAGCUGAGAUUAACUGUGCUGCUGCCCAGUCCUGGGCCUGUUGUAGCUACUGUGGAAAAUUACAGAUGUUUAUUUUCCAUCUAAAAAAGAGACUCUCUUGAGAAUUCCUUUUAAGCCUGCUGGAGAUUAAUGGUGCCAGAAAGGUCAUCUUACAAAAACCUCAUUCUCACAGGAGAAAGCUCCUCUCUAUAUCAAAAUGUCUGGGUCAAACUCAGUCAUGGCAGAACUUUGUCUUUAUCAAGGAAAUUACUUCUGGGGUAAAUAUGGCUAAUUUCUGUUCUCCAUCAGUUAGAAUACUGCAUUUAUCUCAUGUUCUUGGGUUGACCUUCAUUGCUCUCAUAUCUUGGUUACUCAUGGGCUUUAUUUUUAUUCAUGCAGCCUCCUGCAAGGAAGAAAGGUGAUCAUGUCUUCAAAAUGGAAGAUGACUUCCCAUGCUGUAACAGAACUGGAAAUGUUCCUUGGUUACCCAGCACAAAUCUUAAUAACCUUAAUUACUGUGGGUGGGUGAAACACCCCACCCUCUUGGGUUUGCCGUUUCUUCAUUCCAGACAGUCUCUGUAAAGACUCAGGGCUCCUGAGAGAAGGAUUCACACAGAUAGGAAGCCAUUCUUAGAACCAAAAAGGAAGGAGAUCCUCUGGUCCACCAGUAAAACAAGAACCUACACUGUUCAAGUGUCACAACAUCUGCCUCAUUCCGGGUGCCCAGUGUCUGGUCAAUUCCAGAACCAGAAGUAUAUGGACUAUUUAAGAGCAAUUUAUUCACAAUGUACUAGAGACCAUGUGCAGUAGCUGUUGGUUAAUUCUUCCUCUUUUGCUUUUCUAUGUGUUCUAGCAAAGAGAAGCUGGUUGCACUGUCAGAUUAUCCAGAGGCCCUAUGAUGGUGGUGUGCUUCUCUUUUCUCCAUCUGCUUUGAAGAGGCUUAUUUAAUAAGGUUUUACUUUGAUAACAAUCCUGCAGUCUGAUAGAUCACAAUCUCAGGAGUGUGUUUGUCACUGUCAUCUCAAGGAGAAAAAAAAAAACCUCCUGACAUUCAGUCUGAAUUAAAAAGCAAUAAAUGUUUAAAGACAUGAGAAUUAAUAAAUAAUAUUUUAUUUCUUUCCAUGUAGUA